CCCUUAGAUGUUCUGGGCCGCACGCGCGCUACACUGAUGAACGCAACGAGACCACCUGUACCGAAAGGCAUGGGUAAACUUGUGAAAGUUCAUCGUGAUGGGGAUAGAUUAUUGCAAUUAUUAAUCUUCAACGAGGAAUUCCUAGUAAGCGCGAGUCAUCAGCUCGCGUUGAUUACGUCCCUGCCCUUUGUACACCCCGCCCGUCGCUCCUACCGAUUGAAUGGUCCGGUGAAAUCUUCGGAUUGCUGGAUAGGACUUCAUUGACCUAUCUGCGAGAAGUUGCUUGAACCUUAUCAUUUAGAGGAAGGAGAAGUCGUAACA
This 321-nucleotide ribosomal RNA is filed under the name uncultured eukaryote. Its description in RNAcentral is "partial 18S ribosomal RNA". It matches the Rfam family "Eukaryotic small subunit ribosomal RNA", at positions 1470 to 1796 of the family's 1831-position model. The record is from RNAcentral.